This 27-nucleotide non-coding RNA is filed under the name Homo sapiens (human). Lineage: Eukaryota; Metazoa; Chordata; Mammalia; Primates; Hominidae. The record is from RNAcentral.
CCAUGGGUGACCAGACCUACAACGAGA